ACUGAAUAGAUACCCGGGUAGUCCCAGCUGUAAACGAUGCAGGCUAGGUGUUUGGACGGCCACGUGCCGUUCUAGUGCCGCAGGGAAGCUGUUAAGCCUGCCGCCUGGGGAGUACGAUCGCAAGAUUGAAACUUAAAGGAAUUGGCGGGGGAGCACCACAAGGGGUGAAGCUUGCGGUUUAAUUGGAGUCAACGCCGGAAAUCUCACCGGGAGCGACAGCAGUGUGAAGGCCAGAUUAAAGGUCUUGCCAGACGAGCUGAGAGGAGGUGCAUGGCCGUCGCCAGUUCGUGCCGUGAGGUGUCCUGUUAAGUCAGGCAACGAUCGAGACCCGCAUCCUCUGUUGCAACCAGUUUUGAGCUGGGCACACUGAGGAGACCGCCACUGAUAAAGUGGAGGAAGGAGCGGGCCACGGCAGGUCAGUAUGCCCCGAAUCUCCGGGCCACACGCGAGCUGCAAUGGCAGGUACAAUGGUUCCGAACCGUCGAAAGGGGAAGGCAAUCUCGAAAACCUGCCGUAGUU
RNAcentral lists this ribosomal RNA (519 nucleotides) under uncultured bacterium. Its description in RNAcentral is "bacterial SSU rRNA". It matches the Rfam family "Archaeal small subunit ribosomal RNA", at positions 723 to 1249 of the family's 1478-position model. The record is from RNAcentral.